CUCUGCAGGGGUCCCUUUCUCCUGUGGCUUCCUCUCAGUUGCCCCCACAGGCACAGCCACAGCCAUGAGGAAGGACCUGUUUAUAGCAAUCGUGGAGAACAUGCAUGAGUUGUCUCCAGCCCCUUUCUUGGCCUUUUGUGGGUUUGCCCAUUUAGAACAAUCGUGGAACUAGCUUAUUGACCCUUUCCCUGUGCUUCUGGCUGCCUUUUCUGCCCAGGGUCCAGGGCUCUUGUUUGGGUGCUGUUGAGGUAAAAGCUGCCUCUUCUGGAUGCCCACCCAGUGUACACCAUGCGCUUACCACAUGCCCACCUGAACCAGCCCUGCCCACAAGGCCUCUGAAUCUGCCAGAGCUGCCCUUGUUUGGGAUGAUGGAUGGGAGGUGGAUGAAUUAUGGAAACCAGAUGUAAAGCCAGGGUCUCAGUAAAUAGUCAUUGAAUGAAAUAAUUCUGAGUUCAAGUCCUAAAUGAAAGUGUUGGUAGCCUUUGGAAUUCUACUGGGAGGGUCUGCCCACAGCGCCAUUGACUGACUCUUAGAUGUCCUGUGUACCUACCCACGCCAUCCUAGAUGCUGUAUGAAGAUAUGAAGGAAUCAGGAGGUAAUUUUCUACUUUCAUGAAAACUGGUUGAAUCCUAGCAUAUCGUAGAAUAUUUAGCAGUUUUGUUACUAAAACAGAGUUUAAGAAGGUGGCCUCCCAGAAUUCAGGUUAAUCUCUUUCCUGUGUUCUAUUUUCUGCAAUACAUAUAGCUGCCACCAGAUGGUAGUGGUGUUCCGAUAAAGGCUGGUAAAUAAUUCCUUAUCAGCCUCUUUGGAAAACAGUACUUUGGGCUGGGCAUGGUGGGGUCAUGCCUGUAAUCCCAGAACUUUGGGAGGUCA
Long non-coding RNA from Sapajus apella (tufted capuchin), 873 nucleotides. RefSeq lists it as uncharacterized. NCBI's taxonomy places the organism in Eukaryota, Metazoa, Chordata, Mammalia, Primates, Cebidae. The record is from RefSeq and is a predicted model, not a curated record. The transcript is spliced from 3 exons.